CCUACGGGCGGCAGCAGUGAGGAAUAUUGGUCAAUGGGCGCGAGCCUGAACCAGCCAAGUAGCGUGAAGGAUGACUGCCCUACGGGUUGUAAACUUCUUUUAUAAAGGAAUAAAGUGAGGCACGUGUGCCUUUUUGUAUGUACUUUAUGAAUAAGGAUCGGCUAACUCCGUGCCAGCAGCCGCGGUAAUACGGAGGAUCCGAGCGUUAUCCGGAUUUAUUGGGUUUAAAGGGAGCGUAGAUGGGUUGUUAAGUCAGUUGUGAAAGUUUGCGGCUCAACCGUAAAAUUGCAAUUGAUACUGGCAGCCUUGAGUACAGGUGAGGUAGGCGGAAUUCGUGGUGUAGCGGUGAAAUGCUUAGAUAUCACGAAGAACCCCGAUCGCGAAGGCAGCUUACUAAACUGUGACUGACAUUGAUGCUCGAAAGUGUGGGUAUCAAACAGGAUUAGAUACCCGUGUAGUC
This 460-nucleotide ribosomal RNA is filed under the name uncultured bacterium. Its description in RNAcentral is "partial 16S ribosomal RNA". It matches the Rfam family "Bacterial small subunit ribosomal RNA", at positions 338 to 795 of the family's 1533-position model. The record is from RNAcentral.